This is a long non-coding RNA of Cyprinus carpio carpio, 1206 nucleotides long. The record is from Ensembl. NCBI's taxonomy places the organism in Eukaryota, Metazoa, Chordata, Actinopteri, Cypriniformes, Cyprinidae.
UAUAUCAUAACCAUAGCAACCAGGGUGUUGUGGGUGGUUGCUAGGAUAAUUGCUAGGGCUCUCUAUAUGACUUUUUAAACCAUUUUGAAUUCACACUUUUAUUAUUUAUUUUUUUUUUUGGUUGCCAAGGUGUUGUGGGUGGUUGCUAAGGCUUUUCUAUAUGGUUGCUAAUUUAUUAUGAAUGGUUUGAAGUGUGUAGCUGUGUGGUUGCUAGGGUGUUGUGGGUGGUUGCUAGGGCUUCUCAAAAUGGUUGCUAAGGUGUUCCAAUAAUUUUAAGUGUGUAGCUGUUUGGUUGCUGUGGUGGUGUGGGUGGUUGCUAGGAUGUUGUGGUUAGCUGUAUGGUUGCCAGGGUAUUGUGGGUGGUUGCUAUGGCUUUUCUAUAUGGUUGCUAAGGUUUCCAGUUUGUUGUGUGUGGUUGUGUGUGGUUGCUAGGGCUAUUCUAAAUGGUCACUAAUGUGUUCUGAAUGGUUUUAAGUGUGUUCCUGUGUGGUUGCUAGGGUGUUGUGGUUAGCUGUGUGGUUGCCAUGGUAUUCUGGGUGGUUGCUAGAGCUUUUCUAUAUGGUUGCUAAGGUUUACAGUGUGUUGUGGGUGGUUGCUAGGUGCUCACAAGUAACAAUGGCCCAGAACACCCUAGCAACCACUUAGCAACACACUUAUAACAACUUUGCAUUGUGGCAGUGAGCUUUGCUCAGUCAAACACACUGUAUUUGUUCAGUUGUAUGGCUGUAGCUGCGUAUGAAUGUAUCUGAUGGUACGAGUGUGUCCUUGCUGCUUUGACUCUCAAACAUCUGGCUGUGUGUUUGUAAUAAUGAGCAGAACAUGACGGCACAGCGACCGUCUCACCUCUGAAAGCCCUGAAUGACACUUCAGCAGAUGCUUCAAUGCAAUCUGUUUUGUGUCUUUCCUCUCAGUGUGAAGGUGUUUAAUGUUCAUUCUGUGACAACAGAGUUCAUGUUGAAGAUCAUGAGCACCUCUAAUCAUCAAGCACAAAUAAUCUAAACACAAGUCAUUGGUUUUUACUUUCUACGUGCUUUAGAUGAGACAUGCAGCAUAUGUUUUCUUCUGUUCUGGGUCUCGUUAAAGAGAUUUCAUAAUGCAAUUUCAUUGCAUAUUGAUUAGUAAUGUUGCAAAAAUUCUACUUAUAUAAAACUGCUACAAUAUUAGUAUUUAUUAAUAUUUUAAUUAGAUUUCAUUUUUAUAUUUGUU